UGCUAUGGCGGCUGUGCGUGGGGCACCUUCGGGUGCGCCGGGUGCCUAGAGUCCCGGUUCGCCAACCUGCGUACAGCUGCCACCCAU
RNAcentral lists this non-coding RNA (87 nucleotides) under Phytopseudomonas flavescens. The record is from RNAcentral. Lineage: Bacteria; Pseudomonadati; Pseudomonadota; Gammaproteobacteria; Pseudomonadales; Pseudomonadaceae.